CGUGUAUGUAGAUUGUCAGUGGUGUUACGUUUGUAGGUACUGUUUGUGUGUGUGCGGUUUGUAUUAUUUGCAUGAAGGGGAACAUUAUUUUGCAGGACUGUGUAUAUCUAGAAGGGUGGUUGGCCUUCAUGGGGUCCAGCGGGCACCAGGCUGGCCAGGUACAGGUUAAGGGCAGGGGCUGAGGGUUGCUCGACUCCAGUGCAGAUUCACAUUCACAAGAGGGGGGGAGGAAGUGAUAUCUUCCUCUAAGUAUUGCAAUGUGUAAGUUAAGGAUUGCCCCUCAACACGUGCAAUCACCAUUCAGUUUGCACUAGGGACCUGAUAGGUCGGAGUCUGGCUCUGGCAGCCUUGAGUGCCGUAGGCUGCUGACUUGCCUUAACUCAGCUUUUGGCAAUUGUUGCAUCUUUCUCAGUAUUCAAUGUAGACUAUAAAGUUCCCUUCCAGCAAACACAUCACUGGCUGUCACAGAAAUUACUAAAGUCUUUUAAUUAAGUACAUAAAACCCAAGUCUCAGAUAGUAUAUUCCCACAGGUAAUUAGGGU
Molecule: long non-coding RNA, 542 nt
Filed under: Pelobates cultripes (western spadefoot toad)
Lineage: Eukaryota; Metazoa; Chordata; Amphibia; Anura; Pelobatidae
Source: RNAcentral